RNAcentral lists this ribosomal RNA (496 nucleotides) under uncultured bacterium. RNAcentral describes it as "partial 16S ribosomal RNA". It matches the Rfam family "Bacterial small subunit ribosomal RNA", at positions 28 to 507 of the family's 1533-position model. The record is from RNAcentral.
GAUGAACGCUGGCGGCGUGCCUAAUACAUGCAAGUCGAGCGGACGGACGAGAAGCUUGCUUCUCUGAUGUUAGCGGCGGACGGGUGAGUAACACGUGGAUAACCUACCUAUAAGACUGGGAUAACUUCGGGAAACCGGAGCUAAUACCGGAUGAUAUUUUGAACCGCAUGGUUCAAAGUGAAAGACGGUCUUGCUGUCACUUAUAGAUGGAUCCGCGCUGCAUUAGCUAGUUGGUAAGGUAACGGCUUACCAAGGCAACGAUGCAUAGCCGACCUGAGAGGGUGAUCGGCCACACUGGAACUGAGACACGGUCCAGACUCCUACGGGAGGCAGCAGUAGGGAAUCUUCCGCAAUGGGCGAAAGCCUGACGGAGCAACGCCGCGUGAGUGAUGAAGGUCUUCGGAUCGUAAAACUCUGUUAUUAGGGAAGAACAUAUGUGUAAGUAACUGUGCACAUCUUGACGGUACCUAAUCAGAAAGCCACGGCUAACUACGUG